This is a long non-coding RNA of Sceloporus undulatus (fence lizard), 1739 nucleotides long. RefSeq lists it as uncharacterized. The transcript is spliced from 3 exons. The record is from RefSeq and is a predicted model, not a curated record. NCBI's taxonomy places the organism in Eukaryota, Metazoa, Chordata, Lepidosauria, Squamata, Phrynosomatidae.
GUUGGAGUAUUACUGAACUAUGCUAUCCUUAGGAACCAGCCUCGUGAUCUGCCUUUGCAACUGGAGCUCGUCUUCCUUAGCAUCACUAGUUAAGAUAUUGGACCUACCCCAAAGGCACCAGGUCCCUUCUCUUCUUGGACGCUAAGCCAGGUCUUGGUUUGGGAGGCGAACAGGAGAAGGAGGAAUGUUUUUACGGUUCGGAGGAGAGGAAAAUUCAGCAGCCCUCCAGGGAACCAUUGGGGAGGUCUCGGGUCUUGUAAACGGUUUGCAGCUGGCUCAGCAAAAAAUGAGGUCUGAGGGAAGGGAAGGAAACAAAUCCCUUCUCUCUCCUGCCGAAGAUGAAGAACAGAGCGGGAAAAGGCCGGAGAGGAGAGCUGAUGAUCACUUUUCUAAAAGGAAAGCAAGAAAAGAGCAGGGGAAAAGGUCUUCGCCUGAGGCUACAACUGCCAGAAAGAGCUGGGAGAAAGUGAAUUUUCUUUUUUGAAGACCACAACUCCAUGAAAAGUUUUCCGAGGAUGUGGUUUGGGACCUGAACGUUUCUGGGAGUUGUGAGCCCCAACAACCGAUGGUCAUCCUCCGGGAGAGCAGAAUCAUAAAUCUCACUUCACAUCUAAUCAGCAUCUUUUGAAACACUUCGUGUUAUUAUUAACUGACCAUAUGGGAGACAAAACACAGCAUUCAUAAUGCCGAUAGGUUUCUUCUUUUCUUACCGCAUCCUGAAGCAAGAGCACAGCUUGGAAAAGUUCUUUUUGAGGGACUGCACGGCCCUGACCCAUAUCUGUUGUACACCCUUGCCAUAAUGUGACAGAAUACUGGGAACUGAUGUAUGUAUAUGUAUGUUGAGUAUCUGAUAAAGACCAGAAAACAGAAAGCCAUAAGAAUAGAGAAUAGAGAGCAAAUUAACCAACAAGUUCUUCUGAACAUCUAGACAACUCCAACAAGUAAGCCAAUCCACAAGUGACAAGAGAAGGCAAGGAGUAAGGAAAUAAAAUGAUCACACAGGCAGACCAUCCUUCUAACUAGUUUCCUUAUUUUGACAUAUGAAGAUUAAGGAUCUCUUCCUUGCUCAGGCAUACAGGAAGCUUCUUCCAGAAGCCAGGGAAGUGUCAAUAAUGGGGUGAUCAUCUUGGGUGAAGUUUGCUGAGGCAGGCAUUUUCCUGACACAGGCUACAUAAAUAGUUGGUUCCUGUCCAUGCAGUUGGGGGUGAUGGUGAAGGAGUGAGCAGGUUUGAGGAGGAGAUACUCUGUUGCUGAAGAAUGUUAGCUAAUACAGUAAGGAACUAGUAGUUUGUGCUUUGUGGCUAUUCCUAUUCAGAGCAUAGAAAAGUUCCUUUCCUAAACUGCCAUAAUCCCUCAGCCAGUAAGUUUGGGUGGUGUUGGUGUUCUGGGACUUGCCAUCCAAAAAGCAAACCCUGGUCUGUUCAAUUAUAAAGGUUUGACACCAUUGUCACACUAGCAGUUACACAGCAACUAUGGAUUAUUAUACCCUUUCUACUCAGACAUAAGCCAUGUUAUGCUUAUUGGUGCUUAUUCCCUGCUACUGUCUCAUGCACUUCUGUCUAGGGCUUGAUCCAGUUAAACUCAAUGGGAUUUUAAAACAGUGGAGCUCAAAAUAAUUUUUCAAUUCAGCUCAUCGAAAUGAUUUAUCUCAUUAUCAUGCAAGAAUGAAAAUAAUACUCCUCCAGGUGAAUUUUGUGUAUGCCAUGUAGUCUGCUUGUCUGUCCCACCUCAAACAUACU